UGAAGAACUAUAUUUUGCCUUCUUUCUGAAGGGCUGGAGUUUGUUACAUAAAACUCUAAUGUUUAUGUAAUCAAAUGUGUCAAUCUUUUCUGUAUAACUUCUGGGUUUUGUAUUAUCCUUUUUAAAGUCUUGCCCAUUCUAGAAUCAAAAAAAUAUGCAUCUAUGUCUUCUUAUAGGACGUCUGUGAUUUCAUGCUUUACAUGCAAAUCUCUGAUCCAUCUGGAACUUCUUUUGGUAUAAGAAGUAAGAUAAGGGCCUACUUUUACUUGUUUCCAUCCCAAAUGGCAAAGAGUAAACUCAAUUACCAUUUAUUGAAUAAUCUACCUUUUAAAAAAGUCCUUUAAAUAGCAACUUUCUCCAUAGAGAUUUUAAUAUGAUUCACUCUAUACAAGCUCUAUGUAUGCAUUUAUAAAAGUUCUAUUUGAACAUGAUGCCAGAAACAGCUAUAGGGUGGUGGGCAGUUGUUAAAAUGCCCCCUCCUCAGGUCAGUUUCCCUACCAUAAAAAAUUAAGGCAGCACUAUGUACCUUGCCGUGUUCUUGUGGGGAUUUUAAGAAUAAAGUAUGUAGAUACCUCUACCUCAAUUAUUGUGUUUCUUUCUGUUCAAUUUUCUGCAGUAAAGCAAUGUGGGCCCUCAUAUCAAGGAUCCCAUUUGGGUGUAAGACUCAGUUUCUCUAUUUACAUCCUGAGCAUAUAGAGAUGGCAAAGGAGGCCAUAGCUUUUUCAACAGUAACAUCUAACUGUUUCCCUCUCUGGUCAGUGCCUAAAGAGGUACUUUAUUUAAUCUUUUGAGGUGCCAAUCUUUGCCUUUUUGUUUCCCCAAAUAUUUCAGCAGGGCAUGUGGUGCUACAUAGAUCUGAGUUUGAAUUCCAGUUCUGCCGCUUACCAGAUAAGUGGCCCUUCUUGAGAAUAAUAUAAAGGGGAGAGGAGUAGCCCUCUUGUCAUGGGGUCAUGGUGGGAUAAAUAAGAAUCCUUGUGGAAUGCACCUUCCAUGGGGAGAAGAUCUUUGUCUUAUGAAUCACGAGUAUUAGAAUGCCUUGUUAUGCCCAGUGUUAGAAUGGUGCCUGAUGUGCCGUUGCCACUUAUUAAAGCAGUAUGGAAGGAAGGAAUUAGAGCACGUAGCAAGGUGCCAAAGUAAAUUAGCUAUAAGUGGAGGUCAGAGGGAACAGAAAUGUGGUUUGCCUUCAGGGGUUAGAAUCUGGAUCUGAAAACUAAGGUGUGUAGCCCUUACACAUGAGGCAUAAUGAAAUGCGUGGUAUCAUAUGAGCACAAAGUACUUUGGAGACAAGUGGGAAGUAAUGCAUUUCAACUGGAGAAUUAGGGAAAUACUUAAUGGAAAAGGGCGAGGCUUCAAUUGGACCUUAAAAGAGCAUUGUGUGUGUGUGUGUGUGUGUGUGUGUUUGAGAGACAUGAUUUUCCAGGCUGGAGGAAGGAAUACAAAAUGGGAGAAGUGUUUGGCAUAUGCUAGGAUCAGAGCUUAGUGUGAAUUAUGAAAGUGCAUGUCAGGUAGGAGAAAGAGUGUCUGGCAGGUCAAUCAUGGUGGCCUGGAGUGUCCUGCAAUGGGGUUUAAGACAGUGCACAAAUCUGAAGGCUUUUGAGUUGCUGAGUCCUAGGAGAGGCUCGUGUUAUUAUUAUGUUUUCAUUAUCUGUAUUCAUUAUUCAGAAAUCAGGGCAAAGGAUGAACUAGAAGGGGUAAGAAUUUAAUAGCUAGAGGAGGAAGAGACAAAAAGGGAGAGGAGUUUAGGAGUUCCUGUUGUGGCUCAGUGGGGUAUGGACCCCAUGUUGUCUCUGUGAGGAUGCGGGUUCCAUCUCUGGCCUCCCUCACUGGGUUAAGGAUCCAGCAUUGUGACAAGCUGUGGUGUAGGCUGCAGUGGCAGCUCUGAUUCAACCCUGGCCUGGGAACUUCCACAUGCUGCAAGUGUGGUC
Molecule: long non-coding RNA, 1925 nt
Filed under: Sus scrofa (pig)
Lineage: Eukaryota; Metazoa; Chordata; Mammalia; Artiodactyla; Suidae
Description: lncRNA (ENSSSCG00000051427.2)
Source: RNAcentral